GUCUAAACGACUCUCGGCAACGGAUAUCUCGGCUCUCGCAUCGAUGAAGAACGUAGCGAAAUGCGAUACUUGGUGUGAAUUGCAGAAUCCCGUGAACCAUCGAGUCUUUGAACGCAAGUUGCGCCCGAAGCCUUCUGGCCGAGGGCACGCCUGCUUGGGCGUCAC
Molecule: ribosomal RNA, 165 nt
Filed under: Veronica lycica
Lineage: Eukaryota; Viridiplantae; Streptophyta; Magnoliopsida; Lamiales; Plantaginaceae
Description: 5.8S ribosomal RNA
Rfam family: 5.8S ribosomal RNA
About the family: 5.8S ribosomal RNA (5.8S rRNA) is a component of the large subunit of the eukaryotic ribosome. It is transcribed by RNA polymerase I as part of the 45S precursor that also contains 18S and 28S rRNA. Functionally, it is thought that 5.8S rRNA may be involved in ribosome translocation.
Source: RNAcentral